UUACUACCAAACCUCGUAGGUCAACCAGAGUAAGAUCCGCACCAGAGUGGUACGGUAAUCCUAUUCUGGAGGUCAUGUUACUUGACCAUGACGAACCUACGAACUAUGAGGAAGCGAUGAUGAGCCCAGAUUCUGCAAAAUGGUUAGAGGCCAUGAAAUCUGAGAUAGGAUCCAUGUAUGAGAACAAAGUGUGGACUUUGCUUGACUUGCCUGAUGAUCGGCAAGCCAUCGAGAAUAAAUGGAUCUUCAAUAAGAAGACAGACACUGACGGUAAUGUUACUGUCUACAAAGCUCGACUUGUUGCGAAAGGUUUUCGACAAGUUCAAGGAGUUGACUACGAUGAGACUUUCUCACCCUUAGCGAUGCUUAAGUGUGGCACCCCGACUCAGAGAAAACAGGAACGCCCCGUAUUCCAGCCCAGAGAUCGAGGCGAAGUCUUCUAGAAUACGGCACUGCUUAGCAUAGAACAAACUAGCUUUCUAUUAAUACACGAAUAUGAAUACAAGUUCUCUGAUAUUACAAUGAAUAACAUCGGCACGACAACACUACGCCAUCCUCAGUUGCUCUAUGCAAGCAGCAUAACGAGUUGAGGCAGCGGAACCACUACUGGCAGCGGAACAACGAACGACGAUGAUGAACUCCAAUCCGCAGGGACUCUGGCUAGAACGCUUAUCCUAGCUCGCGAACACAAGAACAACACCAAACAAGAAAGCAAUCCAGGCACGACCUGCAAGCUGGCAUGACACGCCAGGUCAGUACAUUGAAUGUACUUGCAAGCUCACAAUAACCAGAAGCAUUCAAGACAAACAUCAGCAUGGCAUUUACAGGUUAAGCAGGAAUUAACAUGAGAUCCUCAUAACAACAUGACAUGAGCAACAUGAACAUGAUACAGCUAGAACAACCUGAGCAUGGCAUGAACAUAUGAAUCUGACGAUACUAGCAUGCAACAUGAUGACACUAUAUGCACUACUUAUUCUGCUCGGGUUACUACGUAACCAUCACAUGCAUGACCUACCAACCUCGGACAUCACACGAUUAUCUCAGGAUCAAAUCAAGCUUGGUAUAAACAAUACCGUAGUAAUCAUUAAAUGACCACAAGGAGCUUGAUCUUUACCCACGAUUCUCGCACAAUAUCACGAAUAUCCAACAACUCGGUAUCCUCGAUACCACGGUGAUCAUUCCGGCGAUCACAACCAUGACCAACACUUGGUCUCAAACGGUGAUCAUUCCGGCGAUCACAACCAACUUAUCUCCUCAUCGAACCGGGGUUGUUAUAAAUCAAGUUAUUAUUAAUACUGUUGACUCACGGUGUGACCGACACGAACUGGGCCCUUAUCUGCGGGCGCGGCUAUUGAUAGAUUUAAUAUACACUCUGCAGAGGUUAGUACACUGUACCCAUACUACGGAACCCAUGGCCUCGCACUCCCAUUCGGGUGGACCAACGGCGUUCCGACAAAACCGGUCUACUGCCAUGACACUCUCCCAGCCACUCCAACCCACUCCCAACUAGGCUAGUCCUGGGUGGCACCGUGUCUACCAAAGACACAACGACCACCGUCGUGGCCAAAACGUCCCUCACGGGGACCAGAUCCAUAAUAACAACAACGGGCACACAAGGUUAUGUCCGCCUACCUGAUUAGGGUAGCGCGCACCCAUAACCUUCCCUCGUUAGAGGCACUGGCGAGAGGCACGACAAUAGACCCAGUUAGGACCUUCCCAUAAAGGUAAGCGUGGUUGCACUGGUCAGUUUCGAUAUGGUGGCACCAUGACUCAGCCAACAGUUGUUCAAGUUCAAUUUAAUCCGGUUAAACUUGAAUGCAAAUAUGCUGAGCCAUGAUAAAAUAACAUGAUGCAAGGACAAUGCAUGAGCAUGAUAUCAACAUAAGCAUGAGGGUACAACAUAACUAUCCACCAUAUCAACAAUGAAUCAUAUCCAGCUGAACAUGGCAUAAUGAUGAGCAUGAAUAUUACAAGUACAACACUACUCAUAGCAUAAUAUGACCAUUAUCAUCAACCAUAAAUAACAUGCAAGAACUCAUCAAUAACAUUACCGAGUAAACACUUAACCAACUAGUAGUAAAGGAACAACGCAUAUUAACAGUACUCGGUAACCGAUGUUAGUCAUGCACCGAAGAACAUGACCAACCCAACACGUACUACUAUCAAGCAUGGCAAUAUGAAAGUAAUACCAGCAACUAGCAGGGCAUGAUAACCAGGUGCAUAACAACAUAGUAAGCAAGUAAGCACUAACCCAGAAACAUUACCGAAACUACGAUAACCAUAUUUUAAACAAGCAAUCAUUUAGUAAAUAAUCAAGUUGAAAACCAUGGCUACAGCAUGAAUAUCAUGCAAGUGGGUAUUGUGGCUUGCCUGGGGAUGAAGAAUACUCCGGGAAGAAGUGUGGUGAAGCCGCGAAAAGAUUUGCCGGAAACAGUUCUCUCUCGCAGGGGCUGUUUACGUGCAAAGGGAAAAAAGGUCAUUUUCACAGUGUCAAACCAUAGUGAAAAUGAAACCAACAGAACGGGAUCGACAAAACGAAGAAGUGAGCUUUGGAUUCACCUCAAUCGGAGUCUCGAGCAAAAAGAUAUAAGCGUUUGAAAUCCAGGGACCAAUAUGUAAAAAGACCCUCUACAAACAGGCCCCUGAGCUGAAAAACAGAAAACGUAUUUCAAAGAAUACGCAUUCAGAACUGGAAAACGUAUUCUUCGCCGCAAGAGAGUGAAAUGCGCUUUCCUGACGAGAAAACGUAUUGCUGGUUGAAGCAAAGCAGGAAUACGUUUUCAGACAAAGGAAGACGUAUCCAGGGUAAUACUCUUCCACUUACCCAGUCAGCAGAGGCGGGACCAGCCACGCGGUUGCUGACGGGCGGAUCCCACUGGGUGGGGCCCGUCACUUAUCCAGCUAGGCAGGCGGGGUCAACGCCUACCCACCGACAGGUGGGGCCGCGUGGAGAUGGGGUCCGCCUGGCUCCUGUCUUCUUCCUCCUCGCUACACCCCGAUGGGAAACAGAGGAGGCAGGGGCGGGGUCGCGAUGCCGGCGGUGGCCCGGCCGGCUCAGGCCGCCUCCGGCCAAGCCGAGGCCACCGGCGAGACCG
RNAcentral lists this long non-coding RNA (3095 nucleotides) under Triticum aestivum (bread wheat). RNAcentral's name for it is "long non-coding RNA (TAES_LNC013202)". Lineage: Eukaryota; Viridiplantae; Streptophyta; Magnoliopsida; Poales; Poaceae. The record is from RNAcentral.